CGCCGGAUCGCACGCCAGAUCCACCAGUACGCCCAGACCGCGGCCUCGAUCCCACCAGAAUGAUUAUUAUCUCUCUCCUCCCACCAGCGGCCUCGACCUGGGAUCGCCAGGGACGCCGCCGCCGCCGCCACGGAUCCCACGGACGCCGCCUCCGCGGAUCCCACGGCGCCACCUCGCCGCCACCUCGCCACCGCUGGUCGCCAUGGCGCGGCGUCACCCCGCCGCCACCUCGGCCAAGCGCCGCGCCGCCCCUCCGAACCCUAGCCCGCCCCCUCCGCCCGCCGACGGAUCGCUUCCGCUCCUCCACGCGGCGAGCUGCGGCGACCUGCGCCUCUUCAAGAGGCUGGUGAGAGAUCUGGAUCAGGGCAGGGGCCGUCCCAGGGAGGUGGUGGAGGCGGCCAAGGACCAAGGUCUCGUGGCGCUGCACUUCGCUGCCGGGAAGGGAAGGCCACGGGUGUGCAGGUACCUGGUCGAUGAGCUAGGGGUCGAUGUGGACGCCGUCGACAAUGGAGAAUUGGGCUAUAGGAAACUGUAUGUUGACCAGCACCAGUUUAUUUUUCAAAAUAAACCGGGGAUUCCGCCAUGCCCCGCGUCAAGUCCGGCUCUAGCGGCUGCUUGUUCUACCGGAGGAAGCACUCAUGGCGCUGCGAUGAGUUAGUGAGCAGGAGCACCGUGCAUCUGGUGAGGGCCUUCUUCAUCAUCUCCCAUCAAUUGCUAUCAGUUGCCACUUGCCAGUCAGAAUCGGCCUGCAGACGUUGUUUCUUUGUGCGCAUUGGUCUUGAGGAAGAUGUCCAAAUUAUGUUUUCCCCUUGACCAUCAGAUGAAGCUUGGUCUCCGGCUUUGGUCAUAUGUUUGAGAGGAAGCUUCUCAUGGAAGGGUAAUGCAUUGGCAUCCUUUUAUUUUUCUUAAGCAUGCAUCUAAAUUCACGUAAUUUUGUAUUAGAAUUUAGAAGAAAGUCACCGAGAAGCCUCAGAAUACAAACCCAAACCAAAAACCAAAUCCAAACAAAUAAAAUAAAAUUAUACGAAAGAAGAAGAACAUUGAAACAAAGAUCCUUGUACUGUUUAUAAUGCGUAUGCAUUCCUUUACUAUUUUUCACCAUAAGAUCCUUUUAUCACUCAUUAAAAUUUCACAAGUUCUUGCCACACCCGAAGCUUCCGUUCUCGCUGACUUCACCGGAAUGCCUGCACCAUGUUCCACGGUACCAAUUUUUAAUCCUGUGUUUAGGUGCUUCUACAUGAACCCUGUGCAUAGUCUCGAUCACCACCCACCGGGGCAGCUACUUCUGCUGUCAGUAGCACUUUCCUCUGACAUAUGUGUUUUUCUGUCAUUCUGUGCUUCUACAUUAAUCCCGUGUCAUUGUAUUUAGGUUCUCUAAGGCCUAAACUGUGACUUUUCUUAAUUGUAUGUCUUACACCUCAUUUUAUUGUACUAAUUUAUUCAGUUGCACCAUUACUAGGUGGGGAGAGUUUGGGUUCGGAAGGUAGUGGGUGGGAGCGGAGGAAGGAAAGGGGAGAAAGAUGUGCUUUCCUCGCUGCAACGCACGGGCAAUUAACUAUAUUGCUAAUAAUUAUGAGGGCUCCUGCAGUGACACUACUAUUUUUGCAGGUGAAGCGACAACCAAGUUUCCAAGUUUAUGUCAGAAUACAAGAGAAGGGGGUUUAGUAUUUUCUUGAUGGCACAUGUUGGAAGGUCUGCAGGAGGUGCCUUUGAGGACUUGCUCGUCUACUCGAGCUUCACUGUCAGCGAAGUCUCCACUGGGUUGCCUAGAUCUGUCCUGAAUUGCUUCAUUGAUGACAAUUUGGAGAAGGCUCCGCUGACACUUACAAGGAUGUUUUCCUUUGUUAGAAAGACGAGGAUGCGCUGGAGAUAGACAUGGGGUGGUAAGAAAAUGACGAGCUCCUGAUGGUAUUAUGCUUGCUGGUCUGAACCAACAUGUAUUAUGUCAGUUUGUUGUUAAGAGUAUCUUGAAAAUAUAAAGCCACUGGAGGGCCAGGCAUUCGGUACCAUCGUCUUUCCAAUAGCCCACAUUUCUGCAUGUAUAUAUUUGUUGUACUGCCUAUGCUGGCUUUCCUGCAAUAAUAAUUAUCAAAAGGUAAUAUGCAGCA
Molecule: RNA transcript, 2108 nt
Organism: Triticum dicoccoides
Lineage: Eukaryota; Viridiplantae; Streptophyta; Magnoliopsida; Poales; Poaceae
Exons: 6
Source: RefSeq, a predicted model, not a curated record